Molecule: transfer RNA, 27 nt
Filed under: Consolea spinosissima
Lineage: Eukaryota; Viridiplantae; Streptophyta; Magnoliopsida; Caryophyllales; Cactaceae
Description: partial tRNA-Leu
Source: RNAcentral
CAAGAGCUUAUUUCACUCCCCUAACUA